RNAcentral lists this ribosomal RNA (920 nucleotides) under uncultured archaeon. Its description in RNAcentral is "bacterial SSU rRNA". It matches the Rfam family "Archaeal small subunit ribosomal RNA", at positions 1 to 923 of the family's 1478-position model. The record is from RNAcentral.
UUUCCGGUUGAUCCUGCCGGAGGCCAUUGCUAUCGGAGUCCGAUUUAGCCAUGCUAGUCGUACGAGUUCACACUCGUGGCGAAUAGCUCAGUAACACGUGGCCAAACUACCCUUCGGACCGCAAUACCCUCGGGAAACUGAGGCUAAUAGCGGACACCACACGCAGACUGGAAUGUCGCGUGUGUCAAACGCUCCGGCGCCGAAGGAUGUGGCUGCGGCCGAUUAGGUAGACGGUGGGGUAACGGCCCACCGUGCCGAUAAUCGGUACGGGUCAUGAGAGUGAGAGCCCGGAGACGGACUCUGAGACACGAGUCCGGGCCCUACGGGGCGCAGCAGGCGCGAAACCUUUACACUGCACGCACGUGCGAUAAGGGGACUCCGAGUGCGAGGGCAUAUCGUCCUCGCUUUCGUGUACCGUAGGGUGGUACACCAACAAGGGCUGGGCAAGACCGGUGCCAGCCGCCGCGGUAAUACCGGCAGCCCGAGUGAUGACCGAUCUUAUUGGGCCUAAAGCGUCCGUAGCUGGCUACGCAAGUCCGUCGGGAAAUCCACUCGCCCAACGAGUGGGCGUCCGGUGGAAACUGUGUGGCUUGGGACCGGAAGGCGCGACGGGUACGUCCGGGGUAGGAGUGAAAUCCUGUAAUCCUGGACGGACCGCCGAUGGCGAAAGCACGUCGCGAAAACGGAUCCGACAGUGAGGGACGAAAGCUAGGGUCUCGAACCGGAUUAGAUACCCGGGUAGUCCUAGCCGUAACACUGCCUGCUAGGUGUGGCACCCACUACGAGUGGGUGCUGUGCCGUAGGGAAGCCGCUAAGCAGGCCGCCUGGGAAGUACGUCCGCAAGGAUGAAACUUAAAGGAAUUGGCGGGGGAGCACUACAACCGGAGGAGCCUGCGGUUUAAUUGGAUUCAACGCCGGAA